This 250-nucleotide ribosomal RNA is filed under the name uncultured bacterium. RNAcentral describes it as "partial 16S ribosomal RNA". It matches the Rfam family "Bacterial small subunit ribosomal RNA", at positions 1250 to 1500 of the family's 1533-position model. The record is from RNAcentral.
CAAAGCCGCGAGGUGGAGCGAAUCUCCAAAAAUUGUCCCAGUUCAGAUUGCAGGCUGCAACUCGCCUGCAUGAAGUCGGAAUUGCUAGUAAUCGUGGAUCAGCAUGCCACGGUGAAUACGUUCCCGGGCCUUGUACACACCGCCCGUCACACCAUGGGAGUCGGUAACACCCGAAGCCUGUAGUCUAACCGCAAGGAGGACGCAGUCGAAGGUGGGAUUGAUGACUGGGGUGAAGUCGUAACAAGGUACC